RNAcentral lists this ribosomal RNA (492 nucleotides) under uncultured bacterium. RNAcentral describes it as "partial 16S ribosomal RNA". It matches the Rfam family "Bacterial small subunit ribosomal RNA", at positions 29 to 507 of the family's 1533-position model. The record is from RNAcentral.
AGUGAACGCUGGCGGUAGGCCUAACACAUGCAAGUCGAACGGCAGCACAGUAAGAGCUUGCUCUUACGGGUGGCGAGUGGCGGACGGGUGAGGAAUACAUCGGAAUCUACUUUUUCGUGGGGGAUAACGUAGGGAAACUUACGCUAAUACCGCAUACGACCUACGGGUGAAAGCAGGAGAUCUUCGGACCUUGCGCGAUUGAAUGAGCCGAUGUCGGAUUAGCUAGUUGGCGGGGUAAAGGCCCACCAAGGCGACGAUCCGUAGCUGGUCUGAGAGGAUGAUCAGCCACACUGGAACUGAGACACGGUCCAGACUCCCACGGGAGGCAGCAGUGGGGAAUAUUGGACAAUGGGCGCAAGCCUGAUCCAGCCAUACCGCGUGGGUGAAGAAGGCCUUCGGGUUGUAAAGCCCUUUUGUUGGGAAAGAAAAGCAGCAGGUUAAUACCCCGCUGUUCUGACGGUACCCAAAGAAUAAGCACCGGCUAACUUCGUG